CGUUAUCCGGAAUGAUUGGGCGCUAAGGGUGCGUAGGCGGUACGUUAAGUCUGUAGUAAAAGGCGGCAGCUCAACUGUCGUAGGCUAUGGAAACUGGCGAACUAGAGUGCAGAAGAGGGCGAUGGAACUCCAUGUGUAGCGGUAAAAUGCGUAGAUAUAUGGAAGAACACCAGUGGCGAAGGCGGUCGCCUGGUCUGUAACUGACGCUGAAGCACGAAAGCGUGGGGAGCAAAUAGGAUUAGAUACCCUAGUAGUCCACGCCGUAAACGAUGAGAACUAAGUGUUGGGGGAAUAACUCAGUGCUGCAGUUAACGCAAUAAGUUCUCCGCCUGGGGAGUAUGCACGCAAGUGUGAAACUCAAAGGAAUUGACGGGGGCCCGCACAAGCGGUGGAGUAUGUGGUUUAAUUCGAAGCAACGCGAAGAACCUUACCAGGCCUUGACAUCCCCGGCGAAGACAUGGAGACAUGUCGGAGGUUACCCGGGAGACAGGUGGUGCAUGGUUGUCGUCAGCUCGUGUCGUGAGAUGUUGGGUUAAGUCCCGCAACGAGCGCAACCCUUGUGAUAUGUUACUAACAUUGAGUUGAGGACUCAUAUCAGACUGCCGGUGACAAACCGGAGGAAGGUGGGGAUGACGUCAAAUCAUCAUGCCCCUUAUGGCCUGGGCUACACACGUACUACAAUGGCGGCUACAAAGAGCGGCGAACCCGCGAGGGGGAGCGAAUCUCACAAAGGUCGUCUCAGUUCGGAUUGAAGUCUGCAACCCGACUUCAUGAAGUUGGAAUCGCUAGUAAUCGCGAAUCAGCAUGUCGCGGUGAAUACGUUCUCGGGCCUUGUACACACCGCCCGUCAAACCAUGGGAGUUGGUAAUACCCGAAGCCGGUGGCAUAACCGCAAGGAGUGAACCGUCGAAGGUAGGAUCGAUGACU
This 927-nucleotide ribosomal RNA is filed under the name Streptococcus sp. BS-01. RNAcentral's name for it is "bacterial SSU rRNA". It matches the Rfam family "Bacterial small subunit ribosomal RNA", at positions 539 to 1476 of the family's 1533-position model. Lineage: Bacteria; Bacillati; Bacillota; Bacilli; Lactobacillales; Streptococcaceae. The record is from RNAcentral.